Micropterus salmoides (largemouth bass) is the source of this 264-nucleotide long non-coding RNA. RefSeq lists it as uncharacterized. NCBI's taxonomy places the organism in Eukaryota, Metazoa, Chordata, Actinopteri, Centrarchiformes, Centrarchidae. The record is from RefSeq and is a predicted model, not a curated record. The transcript is spliced from 2 exons.
UGUGAACACAUGGCUACUUUUAUACGUUAUGGUGAGAGCCAUUCACUGCAGCAUGGUUCAGCUUGUCAAAGUGUGAUUAAUGUUAGUAAAAGAGCACAAGAACUGCUGGCCAAAGUGAGAGAACACGUCAUGGAUGAAGCCAAUUGUACACUUCACAGCUAACAAGGAUCUUGGCAGUCAAUCCUGUCAGCCUGUCCUGCUCUCUUCUGCUCUUUCCUCACAUGACAUGAGGUCCUGUUUGAAAUAAAAAUGACUGAGCAAGAA